GACGAACGCUGGCGGCGUGCUUAACACAUGCAAGUCGAACGGAAAGGCCCUGCUUUUGUGGGGUGCUCGAGUGGCGAACGGGUGAGUAACACGUGAGUAACCUGCCCUUGACUUUGGGAUAACUUCAGGAAACUGGGGCUAAUACCGGAUAGGAGCUCCUGCUGCAUGGUGGGGGUUGGAAAGUUUCGGCGGUUGGGGAUGGACUCGCGGCUUAUCAGCUUGUUGGUGGGGUAGUGGCUUACCAAGGCUUUGACGGGUAGCCGGCCUGAGAGGGUGACCGGCCACACUGGGACUGAGAUACGGACCAGACUCCUACGGGAGGCAGCAGUGGGGAAUAUUGCACAAUGGGCGGAAGCCUGAUGCAGCAACGCCGCGUGCGGGAUGACGGCCUUCGGGUUGUAAACCGCUUUCGCCUGUGACGAAGCGUGAGUGACGGUAAUGGGUAAAGAAGCACCGGCUAACUACGUG
RNAcentral lists this ribosomal RNA (468 nucleotides) under uncultured bacterium. RNAcentral's name for it is "partial 16S ribosomal RNA". It matches the Rfam family "Bacterial small subunit ribosomal RNA", at positions 28 to 507 of the family's 1533-position model. The record is from RNAcentral.